Molecule: ribosomal RNA, 303 nt
Filed under: uncultured bacterium
Lineage: Bacteria
Description: partial 16S ribosomal RNA
Rfam family: Bacterial small subunit ribosomal RNA
Source: RNAcentral
AGCAGCCGCCGCGGUAACACGGAGGGUGCAAGCGUUAAUCGGAAUUACUGGGCGUAAAGCGCACGCAGGCGGUCUGACAAGUCAGAUGUGAAAUCCCCGGGCUUAACCUGGGAACUGCAUUUGAAACUGUCAGGCUGGAGUCUUGUAGAGGGGGGUGGAAUUCCAGGUGUAGCGGUGAAAUGCGUAGAGAUCUGGAGGAAUACCGGUGGCGAAGGCGGCCCCCUGGACAAAGACUGACGCUCAGGUGCGAAAGCGUGGGGAGCAAACAGGAUUAGAUACCCGUGUAGUCCCUGUCUCUUAUAC